Molecule: long non-coding RNA, 889 nt
Filed under: Elaeis guineensis (African oil palm)
Lineage: Eukaryota; Viridiplantae; Streptophyta; Magnoliopsida; Arecales; Arecaceae
Description: long non-coding RNA (EGUI_LNC021271)
Source: RNAcentral
AUGUACUAUGUAUCGAUAAUUUCAUACCUUAAAAAUUAUAUAUCAAUUUAGCUAGAUAUGUGCAUUGACUUACUUGAUGAUUUAUUUAUUUAAUAUGUAUUAUCUGAUCAUAUAGUAUGUUUCAAUAAAAUAUAUAUUUUCGAAAAAAAAAAGAUGAUGUAAUACUUUUUUUAGUCACAACCGAUGUCCUGCCAGCAUAAAAAGAUUUUGAUUUUUAGGUUUAUGCUUUAAGAUAAAUAUUAAAAAAAAUAUGAUAAAAUCAGAAACCUAUCUCAUGUACCAUCCUCUGCUGACCACCUGAUAUGGUUUUUGCUCGGAACACUCUAGGUGAGAACUGAGGUGGCAAGCUUGAUCAAGAGCAUGGAAAUUAAGUCUAAGAACCAUGGUUCGGGAAGAAGCUAUUUAAAUAGUAAAUUCAGCUUACUACUCAAAGCUUGGGCAUAAAGACAAGAGUUGAUUGCCUAAAUGCCAACAUUUAGACAUUUCCAUUUGAGCCAUUACAUGUAAAUUUACAUGCAGAAAAUAUAUGGACAAAAUUGUAACAUAAAUGACUCACAAAUUUUAACCAAUAGGAAUCAAAAAAUUCGCACAAAACUAAUGCUAGAAUUGGUUGAUUCAAGACUAUUUAUUGGUUUCCAUUUGGUCUAAGCAGGGGAACAAAUACAGCAGGAAUAUUAGUUAUAAGGUUUAGAUGGCAUUUGGAUGGUAACUUCAUUUGCUACUUUGAGACGAACUAAUGGCAUCUUUUGCACACAGGAGGUCGCCCUUAUAUGCUGCAUGUGUUGGGUUCUUUGUAUGGUAGGUAAUUGCCAAACUGCUAAUUCAUAAUCUUUUUCUUUUUUUUCCCCCCUUUAGGUACAUAGUGCUAAUUAAUAUUCUGACAGUCUCC